UAAUACGGAGGGGGCAAGCGUUAUUCGGAUUUACUGGGCGUAAAGCGCACGUAGGCGGCAGAAUAAGUCAAAGGUGAAAGCCCUCGGCUCAACCGAGGAACUGCCUUUGAAACUGUCCUGCUUGAGUCCGGGAGGGGGGAGCGGAAUUCCCAGUGUAGCGGUGAAAUGCGUAGAUACUGGGAGGAACACCAGUGGCGAAGGCGGCUCCCUGGACCGGUACUGACGCUGAGGUGCGAAAGCGUGGGUAGCAAACAGGAUUAGAUACCCUGGUAGUCCACGCCGUAAACGAUGGGCACUAGGUGUAGCGGGUGUCGACCCCUGCUGUGCCGAAGCUAACGCAUUAAGUGCCCCGCCUGGGGAGUACGGUCGCAAGGCUG
This 377-nucleotide ribosomal RNA is filed under the name uncultured Holophagae bacterium. RNAcentral's name for it is "bacterial SSU rRNA". It matches the Rfam family "Bacterial small subunit ribosomal RNA", at positions 521 to 896 of the family's 1533-position model. Lineage: Bacteria; Pseudomonadati; Acidobacteriota; Holophagae. The record is from RNAcentral.